AUCACUUGGGGAUCUUGAUAAAAUGCAGAUUCUAAUUCAGUGGGUCUGGAGUGGGGCCCAAUAUUCUGCAUUUCUAUAAAGCUCCAAGGUGAUGCCAA
RNAcentral lists this microRNA precursor (98 nucleotides) under Camelus bactrianus (Bactrian camel). Its description in RNAcentral is "mir-544 microRNA precursor family". It matches the Rfam family "mir-544 microRNA precursor family". RNAcentral also lists the same sequence under 2 other names. Lineage: Eukaryota; Metazoa; Chordata; Mammalia; Artiodactyla; Camelidae. The record is from Rfam by way of RNAcentral.